GAUGAACGCUGGCGGCGUGCCUAAUACAUGCAAGUCGAACGAAACUUCUUUAUCACCGAGUGCUUGCACUCACCGAUAAAGAGUUGAGUGGCGAACGGGUGAGUAACACGUGGGCAACCUGCCCAAAAGAGGGGGAUAACACUUGGAAACAGGUGCUAAUACCGCAUAACCAUAGUUACCGCAUGGUAACUAUGUAAAAGGUGGCUAUACUACCGCUUUUGGAUGGGCCCGCGGCGCAUUAGCUAGUUGGCAGGGUAAAGGCUUACCAAGGCAAUGAUGCGUAGCCGAAUUGAGAGGUUGAUCGGCCACAUUGGGACUGAGGCACGGCCCAAACUCCUACGGGAGGCAGCAGUAGGGAAUCUUCCACAAUGGGCGAAAGCCUGAUGGAGCAACGCCGCGUGGGUGAAGAAGGUCUUCGGAUCGUAAAACCCUGUUGUUAGAGAAGAAAGUGCGUGAGAGUAACUGUUCACGUUUCGACGGUAUCUAACCAGAAAGCCACGGCUAACUACGUG
Molecule: ribosomal RNA, 512 nt
Filed under: uncultured bacterium
Lineage: Bacteria
Description: partial 16S ribosomal RNA
Rfam family: Bacterial small subunit ribosomal RNA
Source: RNAcentral